CCUACGGGAGGCAGCAGUGGGGAAUAUUGCGCAAUGGGCGAAAGCCUGACGCAGCGACGCCGCGUGAGGGAUGAAGGUCUUCGGAUCGUAAACCUCUGUCAGCAGGGAAGAACGGUCACUGUGCUAAUCAGCAGUGAAUUGACGGUACCUGCAAAGGAAGCACCGGCUAACUCCGUGCCAGCAGCCGCGGUAAUACGGAGGGUGCGAGCGUUAAUCGGAAUUACUGGGCGUAAAGCGCUCGUAGGCGGUAUGUCAAGUCAAGGGUGAAAUCCCCGCGCUCAACGUGGGAACUGCCUUUGAAACUGGCAAACUGGAGUGUGUGAGAGGAUAGUGGAAUCCCAGGUGUAGGAGUGAAAGCCGUAGAUAUCUGGAGGAACAUCAGUGGCGAAGGCGACUAUCUGGCACAUAACUGACGCUGAGGAGCGAAAGCGUGGGUAGCAAACAGGAUUAGAUACCCCAGUAGUC
Molecule: ribosomal RNA, 465 nt
Filed under: uncultured bacterium
Lineage: Bacteria
Description: partial 16S ribosomal RNA
Rfam family: Bacterial small subunit ribosomal RNA
Source: RNAcentral